This is a non-coding RNA of Echria macrotheca, 122 nucleotides long. Lineage: Eukaryota; Fungi; Ascomycota; Sordariomycetes; Sordariales; Schizotheciaceae. The record is from the annotation of a GenBank genome assembly.
GGCAAGGUGGCCGAGCGGUCCAAGGCGCCAGGUUCAGGCCCACUUGAAUUUCAGGUUUUUCUUCGAAUAACCAGUUUCCUGGUCUCAGAAAUGGGGCGCGAGUUCGAAUCUCGCCCUUGUCA